Molecule: non-coding RNA, 80 nt
Organism: Apiotrichum porosum
Lineage: Eukaryota; Fungi; Basidiomycota; Tremellomycetes; Trichosporonales; Trichosporonaceae
Source: the annotation of a RefSeq genome assembly
GGUUUGAUCGUAUAAAGGCUAGUACACAAGAUUCUGAUCUGUUAGUUCUUGUAAUCUGGGUUCGAUUCCCAGUCAGACCU